Molecule: long non-coding RNA, 307 nt
Filed under: Vitis vinifera (wine grape)
Lineage: Eukaryota; Viridiplantae; Streptophyta; Magnoliopsida; Vitales; Vitaceae
Description: long non-coding RNA (VVIN_LNC007706)
Source: RNAcentral
GUAUCCAUGAUUGAUAGGAAUUUCUUUCCCAAGCAGCGGGAUUUUGGUAACUUAACCUACAACAUGAAAGAAGGAAAAUAUAUUACAAAUAUGUCGCAAUUCCAAAGUUAAGCCUCAAGGGCAUUAGUUUUAAAAGUACGUUAAAGGGCUGUCAAAUAUUUUACCGCUUCAGAUCUUGAUGGAACAUGGCUUCUCCGCUUCCUUUGUCUGCUAUCCAUGUGUUUAUUAAAUGAAGUGCUUAUUUUCCUUGAGUAUUUUCAGCAACGGUGUAAACUAGUAGUUGGGGAAAAUUAUGCACUAAGAGAUU